GACGAACGCUGGCGGCGUGCUUAACACAUGCAAGUCGAACGAAGAGCGAUGGAAGCUUGCUUCUAUCACUCUUAGUGGCGAACGGGUGAGUCACGCGUAAUCAACCUGCCCUUCAGAGGGGGACAACAGUUGGAAACGACUGCUAAUACCGCAUACGAUCCAAUCUCGGCAUCGGGACUGGAUGAAAGGUGGCCUCUAUUUAUAAGCUAUCACUGAAGGAGGGGAUUGCGUCUGAUUAGCUAGUUGGAGGGGUAACGGCCCACCAAGGCGAUGAUCAGUAGCCGGUCUGAGAGGAUGAACGGCCACAUUGGGACUGAGACACGGCCCAGACUCCUACGGGAGGCAGCAGUGGGGAAUCUUCCGCAAUGGACGAAAGUCUGACGGAGCAACGCCGCGUGAGUGAUGACGGCCUUCGGGUUGUAAAGCUCUGUUAAUCGGGACGAAUGGUUCUUGUGCGAAUAGUGCGAGGAUUUGACGGUACCGGAAUAGAAAGCCACGGCUAACUACGUG
RNAcentral lists this ribosomal RNA (510 nucleotides) under uncultured bacterium. Its description in RNAcentral is "partial 16S ribosomal RNA". It matches the Rfam family "Bacterial small subunit ribosomal RNA", at positions 28 to 507 of the family's 1533-position model. The record is from RNAcentral.